CGAACCGGGGGAGAUCUCCCAUAAGCGGGUUUACAACCCACCGCCUAAAUCAGCCACCUGUCC
This 63-nucleotide transfer RNA is filed under the name Pseudocalotes flavigula. RNAcentral's name for it is "tRNA-Tyr". Lineage: Eukaryota; Metazoa; Chordata; Lepidosauria; Squamata; Agamidae. The record is from RNAcentral.